UAUAAAAUGGAGUUUUGAAGGAGCAGUGGAAAGAAUGGAUAUAUUUUUUUCCCCUUUGAGAAAGUGCUCUCAUUUUCUUUCGAGCUUUUGUUUAUUUUUAUUUUAGUCUUUUAAAUUUAGAUUUUAGUUUUUAACUACUUAAUACUAACAAUUUGAGAGUUGAGAUGAAGGAGAAAUAAGGCUUCUACUUCCAGAUUUACAGGUUGGGAUGAAGAGAGAUAAUUUUUAUAGAUGUAUUUUUAUACCCUUUCAUCUGUUUCCUCAUUUGUAACAUGAAGUAAUAAAAUAUGCCUCAUUUGCCUUGGAAAUUUUGUGGAUGAAUGAAUGACAGUUUAUUGUAGUGUCCUGCUAGUUGAAAGGUGACCCUUAAAAUUUUGAUGGAUUUUAACAACAGAUUUUAUGGUAAUAGUUUUUCUAUUAUUUGUCACAUUUGACACUUUUAAAAUUUGUUUAGGCUCGAAAGGACACAGAAGCGGGAGAAACGUUUUCAUCUGUCCAAGCCAAUUUAAGUAAAGCAGAAAAACAUAAAUAUCCUCAUAAAGUAAAAACAGCACAAGUUUCAGAUGAAAGAAAGAGCUACAGUCCUAGGAAGCAAAGUAAAUAUGAAAGUUCAAAAGAAUCUCAGCAACAUUCCAAGUCAUCAGCUGACAAAAUAGGAGAAGUCUCUUCUCCCAAGGCCAGUUCUAAGCUGGCAAUUAUGAAAAGAAAAGAAGAGAGCUCUUAUAAAGAAAUAGAGCCUGUGGCCUCAAAAA
RNAcentral lists this long non-coding RNA (752 nucleotides) under Homo sapiens (human). RNAcentral's name for it is "non-protein coding lnc-RPL9-2:1". The record is from RNAcentral. Lineage: Eukaryota; Metazoa; Chordata; Mammalia; Primates; Hominidae.